RNAcentral lists this ribosomal RNA (495 nucleotides) under uncultured bacterium. RNAcentral describes it as "partial 16S ribosomal RNA". It matches the Rfam family "Bacterial small subunit ribosomal RNA", at positions 28 to 507 of the family's 1533-position model. The record is from RNAcentral.
GACGAACGCUGGCGGCGUGCCUAAUACAUGCAAGUCGAACGCUGAAGGAGGAGCUUGCUCUUCUGGAUGAGUUGCGAACGGGUGAGUAACGCGUAGGUAACCUGCCUGGUAGCGGGGGAUAACUAUUGGAAACGAUAGCUAAUACCGCAUAACAGUAGAUGUUGCAUGACAUUUGCUUAAAAGGUGCAAUUGCAUCACUACCAGAUGGACCUGCGUUGUAUUAGCUAGUUGGUGGGGUAACGGCUCACCAAGGCGACGAUACAUAGCCGACCUGAGAGGGUGAUCGGCCACACUGGGACUGAGACACGGCCCAGACUCCUACGGGAGGCAGCAGUAGGGAAUCUUCGGCAAUGGACGGAAGUCUGACCGAGCAACGCCGCGUGAGUGAAGAAGGUUUUCGGAUCGUAAAGCUCUGUUGUAAGAGAAGAACGAGUGUGAGAGUGGAAAGUUCACACUGUGACGGUAUCUUACCAGAAAGAGACGGCUAACUACGUG